GGAGCGCUGGGCACGUGGUCUGCUCCGCCCCUCCCCCCACCCUAAGGGGAAACUGAGGCCCGAGGGGGCGGGGAGGGCCACAUGUCGACUUCUCGGCCCUCGUGUCUUCGACAAAGAGGCCUCGGGUCACCGCGCCACCGGCCGGCGCCGGUUCGGAGCCUCACCCGCCCCGUGGGGAGACUUGUGCCCGCUGAUGUCGAGAGACAGGUCGGGUGACGCGUGGGCCCGAGGUCCCGCAGGGGGUCGUGCAGAGCCCGUGUGAACCUGGCCCGAGGGGCGCCAGAACCCCUGAUUCACUGCCCAUCACCUCCGACUCUAGCGUUUCAGGUCCCAAAGCCGUUCGUCGGUUACCGGUCAAAUACUCUGGUGAGCGUUAGCCCAUUUCCGCCUAAUAAGCUUUAAGGGAAAGUGUUGAAACCUCCAUUUUCCAAACGGGUGUUUGAGUUUUAAAGUGAGGGCGCCCCAGCCCCUUUGGGCAAGUGCUGCUCCUGAGGGCCUUGAACUGGGGGCCGUGGCCUUCCUGCCAUGCGGCAGAGGGGGUGGGCCCUGGGCUGAGGGGGGUUCUGGGAACUGUGUUGCAAAGCCUUGUGCAGGAGAGUGGGGCUGGGUUUGGGGGCCAGAAAGGCCUGAGUUCAGAUGCUGACGCAGCCCCUCGUUAGCCGUGGAACCUCGGGUGAGUUACUCCAUUCUCCUGAGCUUUCCUUUCCUUCCAGGGGGGAAACAGCAAGCAGUCGGGAGGGCAGAGGCCUGGUCUGUGUCUGAACCCCCAGUGCCUGGCAAGUGGUUAGUAGGUACUUAGUUGGUAUUUUGUGGGUGGAGGAGUACUUGAGGCAUUUUUACGAGAAGUUGGUCUUCCUGUGGCCUCUGUUGAUGAGGGGAGAUGGAGUCUUUCCAUGAAGUGAGGAUAGUGUUGGGGUCCCGGGCUUGGCUGGGCAGCUUUCCCCUGCCUGGGCGGAGAGCCGGCUGCUGACACGGGCUCCUGUGCCUGGCUCUUCUUCUGCCCUUUGUUGCCCCUGCAUUCGGAAGUGAUCAUGGGCUGCCCGUGCCCUGGUCCCUGGUAGUGCCGGCAGAGGAGUUACUGAAAGCGUUUCCCCGUGUUUGGAGGGUUCACUCCUGUCCCUUCCCAACUCUGGAGCUGUCCCACUCGGCCGUCCUCCCGCCGCCUUUCUAUUAUUUUACUAUUUUAAUAAUUACUGCACACCGCACGGCUUGCCAGAUCUUAGUUCCCCGACCAGGAAUUGAAUCAAGGCCGUGGCAGUGAAAGCGCACGGAGUCCUAACCACUGGACCUCCAGGGAAUUCCCCCCAGCGCCUCUUUCGAUGUCUCCUGGCACCUGAUGUCUGUUGAGUGCCCUCUGCCUGGCUUGGUGCUGGUUUUUCUGAGGCUUUAAAAAAGGAGAAUGGGAGUGGGUCUUGCCACAGCUGUGGUCUUCUGACCCUGGUCUCCAGUCUCAGCAGCCCUGUGUUCUUUUCUGCCUCUGGAUUUGAAGUGGUUACAGGCUGCCCGUGUCCUGGUCAUUGGUAAUAUGGGCCAAGGAAAAGUUGCAAGACUUUCCCCAUGUUCAGGGGACCCAUACUUGUCCCUUCCAUACAGGACAGCCUUCAGUGACUAGCAGUGACCAAGCAUGAGGCAGUCCGAGGAUGGAGAGAGUCAGGCUGUAGUGCGUUCAUUGCCUAAGACCCGAAUCCCCCCAACACACACACCGUGUUUUCCUGUCGAUGAGCAUAAUGGUUUCCUGCCAGUUGGGCAGAUCACGUGAUGGCUUCUUGUCCCCUGCGGGAGUGUCACAUGGCUGCUGUUGCAUGAGACGUGUCGUCAGGGAGAGCCGGGACUGAGUCCCAGGUAAGUGGUGUCCCGCCCGUUCUCUAGUACUUGAGUUGUGUGCAGGCUGUGAGGCCAGAGAUGUCAGGUGCUGAGGUGUGGAGAGUGAGGGUGCAGUGGAGGCUUGGGCCCCCUUCUGCUCCUGAGAGCCUGGAUGGAGGCUGCUGUGAUGUUGAGAGGACAGAGAUUCACAUCCAGUGACCAGCCAAGUGCUCUUCUGUGAGCCUGAGCGAGAAUUCUGUCAGGUGUUCAAUCCUGGUGCCACUUACACACAUUCCUUCAGGACCUAAGAGUUCUCAGUGUUUCUGCCAUGAGUCUUCUCUUCAGCUCUUGGCAGGGACUGGUGAAUAAUCGGGUGGUUCUGUCAUCUUAGGCUGGAAGUCUGGUCAGUGACCUGUCUGCUGGUCUGUUGCUAGGCCAGGCCGUUUCCCAGGAUGCUGGCAGUGGCCUCCCUUCUCCGCUGCCUCACUGCCCUUUUCUGCCCCUGCAUUCGGAAGUGAUCGUGGGCUGCCCGUGCCCUGGUCAUUGAUAGUGCAGGGAGAGAAGUUGCUGAAAGCCUUUCCCCGUGUUUGGAGGGUUCAGUCCUGUCCCUUGCAAACUCUGGAGCUUUCGUACAUGUCUUUCUUCCCACUGAUUUGCGUUGCUUCCUGGUCCCUGGCGCUGUGUGCUCGCUGAGUGCCCCUUUUCCCGAGCAGGGCCCUGCCUUAGCAGUUCACGGGCUGGCAGUGGAGGGCUCCCCUCUGGACGUUUUCUCUGAUUCCCCAUCGCACCCCUUCCUCAUCCCACAUCCUCAGCCCCGCCCCUCAGCGCUGAUCGCCUAGAAAGUGUUGAUUUGCUGAUCGGGCCCCUUAUGCUGUAAUCUUGAGGGCAGCGCCUCCUUGUUUUGCGUUGCGUCUGGUGCCUGAUGCACAGCACCUGGACCAAAAAAAAACCCCAAAGAGGUGGAGAUGACCCAUCUGUUGUGAGGUGACAGGGCUCCUCCCAUUGCAGAGUGUCAGGGAACCAAGCCCUCCAGCAAGCCAGCCUGCCGGGUCAGCCUCCUUUUCUCCACUGGAAUUGUUUCUGUAAUGAAAGGUAGACUUACUAUAAUCUAGGUAGACUUACUGGUCAUGAGCAGGGCCCGUGGUCCGCUGUGGGUGUUUUUCUAGUGACCAACCUGGACAAAGCCCAGUAUAGUUGAGGAUGCAUCUGUAAGUCGCCCUUAUACUACGUAGCAGGCACGGGGCCCUCCCCCCACCUGUUACCCGUUCCGGUCCAUUCUAGUCAUUGCCAGGCAGCCACAGCCUGCAGACUGGUUAGCAGCAAAUUGAUCACAGUUGGCACAUAGGGUAACGUAGGUAUUAUUCCUGUCAGAGAUGACCUGCAGACCCCCUCCUAGGGUUAAAUCGUCCUUGUUCCUGAUACCGUGGUGUGGCCGUUCAGGUACUGCAGUAACAGCCUGCCUUCAUAGGUGCUAGAGACUGCCAGCUGCUGUGCCAAGUGUUCUGUGCGUCCCCCAGGGCCUGCUGUGAGUGCCCGUUCACCAAUUUCCCUUUGCAGCUGGGUCUGUGUGCACAGAGGCUCCACAGGAGGCGUCAUCUUCGUGUCAGCCAGGCUCUAGGCCCCGGGGCCCCAGGAUGUGGUGCGGCAGGAGGACUCUCCCGCCGUGUAGUCAGCCGUCAGCAGGGGGCUGCCCUUCUGCCUUUCUGCGCUGCAGAUGUGUUGGGUGGAGGCCGCAACUCUGCCCCGGCGCCUUCACUUAGUAGACUCUGCAGGGGCAACGUGGUGCUCCCAAGAGGCAUGUCUGGCUCCCAGACAACAGGUCAGCGUUCGAUCUGGAGAUCGUUAAGGAAGUCCCAAGGCCAUGAGUCAGUGACUUUGGGGUGACUUGGGAUCUGGCAUUGCUGGUAUUUCUCCCCAAGAUUCCUUUUGUUCGUGGACACCAGCGGGGCAGAGAGUGGAGAGUGCAGUCCACACAUGAAGAGCUCCCCGCCGCCUGCUCAGAGUGUCAUGGGAGAACUGUUCACUCAGCACGAGAAAUCAGGGCAAAGCGCUGGGACUGGGGGCUUGGGGCCCCCUUCAGCUGGCUCUGAGUCCCGACAGCAGUGCCCUUGGGCGCCAUGGACAGGGAAGGCCUUUCCCCGUCCCUCUGCCAUGCCUGCGUGACUUCAGCGACCAAGAGUUUUUCUCUUGAGCUGGCAGCUGCUCAUCAUCAUCACUUUUCUCUCCACCCAUCCAUUCAGUAAACCUUAUGCACCCGCCCCACCUGCGUUUUAAGUCAGUAACAAGCCACGUGCCAGCGAGGCUGGGCAGGGAGAAAGUGGGUCACAGGCCAAAUCCUGUUUCCACUCUGAGCCUUUCCGUCCUGCUCCUGAGGCUUGGCACGUGGGCUGUUGUUUGAGGUGUUCUGUUAGGACGGGCGUGAACAAACGCUGGUGGUUGGCUCAGGUUAGGACCUGUGAGAGUUGAGGGCAUCGAGGAACAGGCAGGCCAGGGCUUGGGAAGGGUGAUGGGGACCGGAGUGAGACAGGUGCUGAUGUCUUGGGGAAGCUGUGGGUGCCUGGCUAAUGAGUACGUACCUGCUUGUGUGACCAACUGGCCUAGUUUGCCUGGAAUUGAGGGCUUUCUCAGACAUGGGACUUUUAUUGCCAAAACCAGGAAAGUCCUGGCCAAACUGGAACAAGUUGGUCAACUUAUCUGGGUGUAAAAUACAUGGUGUCAACUUGAGAGGACAGGUUACUGAGUAAAGGUGAGAAUGGUGAACGUGGAGCUGCCAUUGGUGGACUCAGUCUUUUGGAGAUAAUUGGGGUAAAAUCAACAGUUGCACUGAGGACACGUAUGUGAACUUUUUAAUCUCCAUUUUAUAGAUGGAGGCAUCUACAUGAGGAAGUAUGUCCCAAAGGCUGUGAUGAAAGGCUCUACUUAAUUGUCCAGUUUCUGCAUUUGGAAUUGAAACCACCUUGGCUAAGCUGAGGCAGGAUUCAGGCUGUCAGGCCUGCCCGGUGGCUUUGACACCCUGAAGGUCUGUGCAGGGGCAGGCAUUCUUCAUGGCUGAAAUAUUCUGCCCUGCUAGCCAUUCUUCAUGGCUGAAAUGUUCUGCCCUGCUAACCAUUCUUCAUCGCUGAAACGUUCUGCCCUGCUAGCCAUUCUUCAUGGCUGAAACGUUCUGCCCUGCUAGCCAGUUCCUGGUAGACGCUUCCAGAAGUGGGCAGUCCUUUUUCUGUCUCACUCCGAGGACUGUCCUCUGACUUCUGUUUGCCACCUUUAUUCAGCUGGUUGUAGCUGCCUGGAAAGAUGCCAAGAGAAGGAGUCUGGGUCCACUGGAGCUAGCUGUGACUGAGCGUGAUGUUUGCUGCCAUGCAGGAACAGCAGCAGCGGGACACAGGCCAGUCCUGAACAAGUGUUCCUGGGGACCCCGGGCACUGGUCAUCAUGCUAGCCCUGUUCUACCGCAGUGUGUGAAGCACGAGCCAUCCCAGGUCUGUAGGGCCUGAGGAGAUCUGAGGAGAGCAUUCAUCCAGGGUGACCCAGGAACCAGGCUUAGGGUCAGUAAGGCACAAACCUUGGCUGGGAAACUAGGCCUCACUGGAGCAGCUGGUGGGAGAUUAACCAGACAUCAUACUAGACAUAGGGGUACAAUGGUGAAUAAGACAGUUUGUGCCCUAAAAGGGGUCACCAAUAAAUAUAUAGAUAAUGUCUCCACACACCAAACAUUACAGGACGUGCAGUGCUGGGCACUGUAGGUGUUGGGGAUGCAGCUUUAAACAAAACAGGGUGCCUCCUGGAGCUUGCUUAGAACUGCUGUCCAUUAUGGCAAGCCACCAGACACUUGUGGCUCUUUUAAUAAAACUUAAAAUUCAGGUCUUCAGUUUUAUCAGCCACAUUUCAAGUGCUCAGUAGCCACAAGUAGCUGCGGGGUUGGACAGUGCAGAUACAUAGAAUAUUCCCGUCACUGCAGGAAGUUCAGACAGCGCCAGUCUAGAAAACAAGGCGUUGAGUUCCAUGAAAGGAGUUGCUGGGACACCUUUACAGAAAGGCUGUCAUUUGAGGAGUCCAAAGAGGGCUGCUGUGCCUGGCGCUGCAUUCCUGUGAUUAUGGGGGGGGAUUGGGUAAAUUGGGGGCAUCAGCCCGGAGGGGGUGUGAGAGCACUGGCUUCCGAGUCACAGACCUGGGGUCUAACCCAGCAGGGUGACAUAAUGUGGGUUUCCAUCACCUGACCUCCGUUUCCCCUUGUGAAAUGAGAACCACACCUCCACAGGAAUAUGGUGAGGUAAGGAUUAAACAGACUUGUAUGUGGAAGCCUGUGUAGGGUGUGGCUUCAGAAAGUGUUCAAUAACUGAUAGCUAUUAUUAUUUAUUGAAGUUUCCUCUUCAAUUUUUUUUUGUCUUUUUUCGGCCUUGAGGCUUUCAGGGUAUAGCCUGUAAUGCUGAAGUUUCCAGGAAAGCAAAAAUUGUUCCCCUCCUUUUACAACUUAAGAUAUGUAUAAUGCAAUGGUUAAUAAAUAUCUAGAAACAUAUACCCCCAAAUUAGAGGAUAUAUGCUUUUCUCAAGCACCUACAUUUACAAAUACUUUUUAUGUUCCAGGUUACAAAACAAGUCACAAAUACCAAAGAAUCAGUUAUACAGAUUAUUUGUAUCAUACUACAGUAUAAUUAAGGACGAUAACAACAAAAAUGGGUUUGGAAAAAUCCAUAUAUUUGGAAAAUUUAAAAUGUUCAAAAAUAACUCGUCAAAGAUGAAACCAGAGGGGAAUUAGAAACUACUUAGAACUGAAUGAUAAUGAAAAUUUCUACAUACCAGUACUUGUGAGAUGUAGCUAAAGUAAUUCUGAAGAAGUUUGUGCCUCACGUGCUUAUAUUAGAAGAAAGGCUGAAUAAUUUUUAUUAAUAAGUAAUAAAAAAUAGAAGUAAUGAGAAUAAAAAUUAGAGCAGAAACUAAAGCAGAGGGCAAAAAUACAACAACAAUCAACAUGGCUAAGAGUUGGUUCUUUGAAAAGUCAUGAAACUGAUGAAGAAAAAUAAUUUCAGGAAGGGAAAAGGACAUAGGACAGAACUGGGAUUAAAAAAAUACAGAUUACUUUUCACGUAUAAAAAUUUAAACUUUGGGACUUCCCUGGCGGUCCAGUGGUGAGGACUCUGUGCUCUCACUGCUGGGGCCAGGGUUCAAUCCCUGGUCGGGGAACUAAGAUCCCGCAAGCUGCAUGGCGCGGCCAAAAAAAAAAAUUUUAACUUUGACAAAAUGAGCACAUUUCUAGAAGACAUCCAAAAAAGUUGCCUCAAAGAGAAAGAAAACUUGAAUAGUCUGAUAAAACCCAUCUGAUAAAAGACCACAAGGGAACAGUAAAGUCAGAUUUAUUUGCCUGUUGCAACAUAAACUUUUUUGGUCACUGUUAAAGCUGUGACUUUCUCACAAGAGGAAUUUUUGAUCCUUUCUUGAAUAGACAUAUAAUGACCAAAACGUAUGUCCCAUUGUUAAGGGACAAUUGAAUGCAGUCCAUCUGGAGGAGGUUGAAGGGACCCUGGGCUCUGGCUUCAGACUGUCCGCAGUUUUGUCGGGAUUUGGUUGUAGACAGGACAUGCAUGAGAAACAUUGGUCAGGCCUUUAAAAUCUUCCCGCCAAUGUUGGCUUUUGCUUACAAGAACUUUCCGAUCAAGUCUAUUAUUCUGCAUAAACCCAGUCAAGCUGGGUGUCUGUCACCUAUAAUCCAAAGCAUCAUCGAUUCUUUUUCUAAGCUUGUCAGGUAUGAUGCUUAUUAGGGUAUCCUGUGAUGGGCCCGGCCCUGGCGUGAGGCCCAGCAGGUGUUGUACUUCUUCAGGAAGACUUGCCUGCUUGUGGUGCUGGCCUAGCUAACGCAGAAGUCCAGAAGGCAAGGGGACCAGCUGAUCCGUUUAAAUAAGUGUGUGUCAGCUGUCACUCCCAGCCUCCAGACAACGAUCCGUUCUCAGGCUCAGCCUUGUUUGUCAAUCUACCUACAUGUCUGCUGACAUUAAAACAGCAGACAUGCCUCCUGCCAGUGGGAGAAGAGUGUGUGUGUGUGUGUGUGUGUGUGUGUGUGUGUGUGUGGGGUGUGUGAAGUGGGCGUUUGUGGUUGGAGGGGACAUGCUUCUACCCUGAAAAUCCAGGAAAGUAGGCAGGGUUGUCCAAUGACCUUGGUCAGGAAAACCCAUGAGAAACUGGGGAACCUAUUGCUGCCAAAAGAUGCAGAAACAGAGAAGGAGGGGCCAAGGAGACUGGAAAGUUUUUAUAAUAAGUUUUUUUCAAAUAGCCCAUGAUUAGAGCAGUAGAUUGGAUACAGUAAUCUGCAGGAAAAAUCGUAACUUUCUUUGCUAACUAACCAAGCAUUCCAGGAUAAUGUUUGGCGUUGGUUCAUUAUCUUUCACCAUCCUUGCCAAAAAUCUCACAUAGCAUAUGUCAGUUGUAUUCACUGAAUAAUAUUCCAUUGUUUGUAUCUAUCACAUCUUGUUUAUACAUUCAUCUGUUGAUGGACAUUUGUGUGGUUUCCACCUUUUGGCUAUUGUGAAUAAUGCUGCUAUGAACAUCAGUGUACAAAUAGCCAUUUAUGCUCCUACUUUCAAUUCUUUUGGAGAACGGGGUCUAGGCGCGCGGGCUUCCGUAGUUGUGGUGCGUGGGCUUCAGUAGCUGUGGCUCGCGGGCUCUAGAGCACAGGCUCAGUAAUUGUGGCACAGGGGCUUUGUUGCUCCGCGGCAUGUGGGAUCUUCCCAGACCAGGGUCCGAACCUGUAUCCCUUGCAUUGGCAGACGGAUUCUUAACCUCUGUGCCACCAGGGAAGUCCCCACCAUCUCUUUUUGAGAAUAAAAUGUUAUUGGGACACAGUCACACUAAUGAAUUUACCCAUUGCCUAUGGCUGCUUUCACACUACAACAGCAGAAUCGAAUAGUUGUGAAGAUAUAGUCCAUGAUGCUGAAAAUAUUAUCUGUCCUUUAUAGAAAAUGUUUGCCAACAUGUACUUUAGAUGAUUCCUGAAUGCAUAUUUUAAGUUUUGAUAGAGAAUUAUUUUAGCCUAUUUGAGGAAAAAAUAUAACCAGGGUGUCAAAACUGUGGUUUCAUGAAUGUUAUUGUUUAGGAGGAAACUGAGUUUAAAGAGCGUGCUAAUGGAAAGCGGACUUAAUGAAAUAGUACAUAGUGGUACAGAUGGUCUUUGGCUCAGGCAGAAUUGUGAAGGUGGGGAGGGAGGGCCUGAUACUUGAGGCCCACUGGACCGUGCAGGUGCUGGGCGAUAGCGGUAGAUGCUGAGCAUGACCAGAGAGCUUCAGGCCAACCCCUCUGUCGGGAAUGGUGGCUGCUGCUCUUUUCAGUUAACAGUGAUAGUAAAUAAUGGGCUGUUAUGCCUGGUGCUUUCCAUUUCUCAAAGGACUUUCACGUCUGUUAUCUCAAAUGGAUAUCAUUAUUUCCACUUAGCAAAUUCAUCCAUUAAUUCCUUACCAAGGAUUUAUUGAGCAUCUAUCAUGUGCUGGGUGGUAUUUUAGAUGCUGGGGAUAAAGCCAUGAACAAAACAGGCAGAGCUGCUACCCUGUGGACCUUAAAUUUUAGUAGGGUGGGUAUCAGGAUUUUGGCAGCAAGGAAUCAAAAUCCAUGAUGCCCUCUGGCUUGGGCAAUAAGAAAAUUUAUCAUCUGUCAUGACAAGAGGUGCAGUGUUAAGUUGGGCUGCAGGCACAGCGUGCUUUUGGUUUUGCUCUCCUUCCCUGUGUUUCUCUUGAACCUGCUCAUCGCCAUGUGUUACCAUCCUCUGGUGGGUAUCAAGUUUGCUUUGGUGUAUCCUGACAUGACAGCACCCACAGGAAAAACAGAAACACUGUUUCUUCCUUGUGUCUCUUUCUUAGAAAUGAAAAACUUCCCCAGAAGCCCCACUGCAGACGCUGCAGACUUCCCCAUGUGUCUCAUUGCCAUUGUAUUAUUUAAAUUUAGAUUGGACUGCAUAUUACAAACAAUGGUUCAAAGAAGUGUUAAAUACAAAAUGGAGACUGGACUUGAGAAUUCCCUGAGCAGACAAAACCAUUUAAGCACACAAGCAAAACUAAAUCCAGCUUAGUUCACGAACACAAGUGAAAGUUAAGUUAGGUUAUUUCUUAAAAAUGCCUCUGACAACCAUCAUAAAAGAAACUUAAGUCAUCUUCCUGAAAAUGGUAUGAGAUAUUGGGUUGACCAAAAAGUUCGUUUGGGUCUUUCUGUAAGAUGAUACAAAAACCCGAAUGAACUUUUUGGCCAACACAAUAAUUGCUUUUUAAAAAUGCAAUGCAGAAAAAAAAAUGCAAUGCAGUAUUAUUAACUAGGGUUACCAUGCUGUACAUUAUAUCCCCAUGACUUAUCUAUUUUAUAACUAGAAGUUUGUACCUUUCGACUCUCUUCACCCAUUUUGCCCAUUCCCUGCCCGCCACUUCUGGCAAUCACCGAUCUGUUCUCUGUAUCUAUGAGCUUGUUCUUUCUUUAGAUUCCACAGAUAAGUGAGAUCAUACAGUAUUUGUCUUUCUCUGUCUGACUUAUUUCAUUUAUCAUCAUGCCCUCAAGCUCCAUCCAUGUUGUCACAACUGGCAAGGUGUCCUUCUUUUUUAUAGCUGAAUAUAUAUACCACAUUUCCUUUAUCCAUUCGCCCUUUGAUGGACACUUAGGUUGUUUUUAUAUCUUAUAAAUAAUAUUGCAGUGAACAUGGUGCAUAUAUCGUUUCAAUUUAGUGGUUUUGUUUUCUUUGGAUAAGUACCCAAAAGUGAAAUUGCUGAAUCAUAUGGUAGUUCUAUUUUUAAAUUUUUGAGGAAACUCCAUGCUGUUUUCCAUAGUGGCUGCACCAAUUUAUAUUCCCACCAACAGGGCAUGCACAAGGGUUUCCUUUUCUCCAUGUCGAGCCGAAACUUGUUAUUUCUUGUCUUUUUGAUAAUAGCUAUUAUUAAAUAUUAUUUGAUAACAAUUCCAACAGGUGUGAGGUGAUAUCUCAUUGUGGUUUUCAUUUGCAUUUCCCUGAUGAUUAGUGAUGUUGAGUAUCUUUUCCUGUACCUGUUGGCCAUCUAUAUGUCUUCUUUUGGAAAACAUCAAUUUAGAUCCUUUGCCUAUUUAAAAAUCAGAUUGUUUUUUUUUCCAUUGAAUUUAUGAGUUCUUUAUCUAUUUUGAUUAUUAACCUCUUAUCAGGUACAUGAUUUGCAGAUAUUUUGUCCCAUUCAGUAGGUUGCGUUUUCAUUUAGUUUACAGUUUCCUUCACUGUGCAGAAGCUUUUUAGUUUGAUGUAGUCCCACUUGCAUAUUUUCGCUUUUGUUACCUCUGCUUUUCAUGUCAAAUCCAGAAAAUCAGUGCCAAGACCGAUGUCAAGGUUACCAUCUAUGUUUUCUUCUAGAAGAUUUCUGGUUUCAGGUUUUACAUUCAAGUUUUUAAUCCAUUUUGAGUUAAUUUUUGUGUAUGGAGUAAGAGUGGGGUCCAGUUUAAUUCUUUUGCAUGUAUAUUUCCAGUUUUCCCAACACCAUUUAUUAAAGAGACUGUUCUUUACUCAUUGUGUAUUCUUGGCUCCUAUGUUGUAAAGUAAUUGACCUUAUACACGUGGGUUUACUUCUGGGCUCUCUAUUCUGUUACAUUCAUUUAUGUUUCUUAUUUUAUGCCAAUACCACACUGUUUUGAUAACUACAGCUUUGUAAUAUAGUUUGAAAUCAGGAUGUGUGAUGCCUCUGGCUGUGGUCUUAUUUCUCAAGAUUGCUUUGGCUAUUUGGAGUUUUUUAUGGUUCCAUAUAAAUUUUAGACUUGUUUGUUCUAUUUCUGUGAAUUAUGCCAUUGGAAUUUUGAUAGGAAUUGCGUUGAGUCUGUAGAUUGCUUUGCGUAGUAUGUAUGUUUUAUUAUUAUUAAUUUCCUUCCAGUUUUAUUGAGGUAUAAUUGACAUACAGCACUAUAUAAGUUUAAAGUGUACAGCCGGGGCUUCUCUGGUGGCACAGUGGUUGAGAGUCCGCUUGCCGAUGGAGGGGACACGGGUUCGUGCCCCGGUCUGGGAAGAUCCCACAUGCCGCGGAGUGGCUGGGCCCGUGAUCCAUGGCCGCUGAGUCUGCACGUCCGGAGCCUGUGCUCCGCAACAGUAGAGGCCACAACAGUGAGAGGCCCGCGUACCGCAAGAAAAAAAAUAAAUAAAGUGUACAGCUGAAUGAUUUGACUUCCAUACGUCAUGAAAUGAUUAUCACAAUAAGUUUAGUGAACAUUCAUUAUCUCAU
Molecule: long non-coding RNA, 11995 nt
Organism: Globicephala melas (long-finned pilot whale)
Lineage: Eukaryota; Metazoa; Chordata; Mammalia; Artiodactyla; Delphinidae
Source: RefSeq, a predicted model, not a curated record